RNAcentral lists this ribosomal RNA (1080 nucleotides) under Arthrobacter sp. UYEF14. RNAcentral's name for it is "bacterial SSU rRNA". It matches the Rfam family "Bacterial small subunit ribosomal RNA", at positions 371 to 1456 of the family's 1533-position model. Lineage: Bacteria; Bacillati; Actinomycetota; Actinomycetes; Micrococcales; Micrococcaceae. The record is from RNAcentral.
AUGGGCGAAAGCCUGAUGCAGCGACGCCGCGUGAGGGAUGACGGCCUUCGGGGUUGUAAACCUCUUUCCAGUAGGGAAGAAGCGAAAGUGACGGUACCUGCAGAAGAAGCGCCGGCUAACUACGUGCCAGCAGCCGCGGUAAUACGUAGGGCGCAAGCGUUAUCCGGAAUUAUUGGGCGUAAAGAGCUCGUAGGCGGUUUGUCGCGUCUGCCGUGAAAGUCCGGGGCUCAACUCCGGAUCUGCGGUGGGUACGGGCAGACUAGAGUGAUGUAGGGGAGACUGGAAUUCCUGGUGUAGCGGUGAAAUGCGCAGAUAUCAGGAGGAACACCGAUGGCGAAGGCAGGUCUCUGGGCAUUAACUGACGCUGAGGAGCGAAAGCAUGGGGAGCGAACAGGAUUAGAUACCCUGGUAGUCCAUGCCGUAAACGUUGGGCACUAGGUGUGGGGGACAUUCCACGUUUUCCGCGCCGUAGCUAACGCAUUAAGUGCCCCGCCUGGGGAGUACGGCCGCAAGGCUAAAACUCAAAGGAAUUGACGGGGGCCCGCACAAGCGGCGGAGCAUGCGGAUUAAUUCGAUGCAACGCGAAGAACCUUACCAAGGCUUGACAUGAACCGGUAAUACCUGGAAACAGGUGCCCCGCUUGCGGUCGGUUUACAGGUGGUGCAUGGUUGUCGUCAGCUCGUGUCGUGAGAUGUUGGGUUAAGUCCCGCAACGAGCGCAACCCUCGUUCUAUGUUGCCAGCGCGUUAUGGCGGGGACUCAUAGGAGACUGCCGGGGUCAACUCGGAGGAAGGUGGGGACGACGUCAAAUCAUCAUGCCCCUUAUGUCUUGGGCUUCACGCAUGCUACAAUGGCCGGUACAAAGGGUUGCGAUACUGUGAGGUGGAGCUAAUCCCAAAAAGCCGGUCUCAGUUCGGAUUGGGGUCUGCAACUCGACCCCAUGAAGUCGGAGUCGCUAGUAAUCGCAGAUCAGCAACGCUGCGGUGAAUACGUUCCCGGGCCUUGUACACACCGCCCGUCAAGUCACGAAAGUUGGUAACACCCGAAGCCGGUGGCCUAACCCCUUGUGGGAGGGAGCUUU